RNAcentral lists this ribosomal RNA (492 nucleotides) under uncultured bacterium. Its description in RNAcentral is "partial 16S ribosomal RNA". It matches the Rfam family "Bacterial small subunit ribosomal RNA", at positions 29 to 507 of the family's 1533-position model. The record is from RNAcentral.
AGUGAACGCUGACGGUAGGCCUAACACAUGCAAGUCGAACGGCAGCACAGUAAGAGCUUGCUCUUACGGGUGGCGAGUGGCGGACGGGUGAGGAAUACAUCGGAAUCUACUUUUUCGUGGGGGAUAACGUAGGGAAACUUACGCUAAUACCGCAUACGACCUACGGGUGAAAGCAGGGGAUCUUCGGACCUUGCGCGAUUGAAUGAGCCGAUGUCGGAUUAGCUAGUUGGCGGGGUAAAGGCCCACCAAGGCGACGAUCCGUAGCUGGUCUGAGAGGAUGAUCAGCCACACUGGAACUGAGACACGGUCCAGACUCCUACGGGAGGCAGCAGUGGGGAAUAUUGGACAAUGGGCGCAAGCCUGAUCCAGCCAUACCGCGUGAGUGAAGAAGGCCUUCGGGUUGUAAAGCCCUUUUGUUGGGAAAGAAAAGCAGCAGGUUAAAACCCCGCUGUUCUGACGGUACCCAAAGAAUAAGCACCGGCUAACUUCGUG